GACGAACGCUGGCGGCGUGCUUAACACAUGCAAGUCGAACGAAGAGCGACGGAAGCUUGCUUCUAUCAAUCUUAGUGGCGAACGGGUGAGUAACGCGUAAUCAACCUGCCCUUCAGAGGGGGCCAACAGUUGGAAACGACUGCUAAUACCGCAUACGAUCUAACCUCGGCAUCGAGGAUAGAUGAAAGGUGGCCUCUACAUGUAAGCUAUCACUGAAGUAGGGGAUUGCGUCUGAUUAGCUAGUUGGAGGGGUAACGGCCCACCAAGGCGAGGAUCAGUAGCCGGUCUGAGAGGAUGAACGGCCACAUUGGGACUGAGACACGGCCCAGACUCCUACGGGAGGCAGCAGUGGGGAAACUUCCGCAAUGGACGAAAGUCUGACGGAGCAACGCCGCGUGAGGGAUGACGGCCUUCGGGUUGUAAAGCUCUGUUAAUCGGGACGAAAGGCCUUCUUGCGAAUAGUGAGAAGGAUUGACGGUACCGGAAUAGAAAGCCACGGCUAACUACGUG
Molecule: ribosomal RNA, 510 nt
Filed under: uncultured bacterium
Lineage: Bacteria
Description: partial 16S ribosomal RNA
Rfam family: Bacterial small subunit ribosomal RNA
Source: RNAcentral